This is a long non-coding RNA of Helianthus annuus (common sunflower), 327 nucleotides long. RefSeq lists it as uncharacterized. Lineage: Eukaryota; Viridiplantae; Streptophyta; Magnoliopsida; Asterales; Asteraceae. The transcript has 3 exons. The record is from RefSeq and is a predicted model, not a curated record.
CCUCUAACAUAACAAAAUCAGUAAGAUUAGAAGGAAAUUGAAGCUUGUUUGUAUGCAUGGAUCAAGAAUUAUGAUCAUCUAAGUGUUCUUAUCAUCAAGAAUUAUGUCGAGACGGAAUCAAGCACGGAAGGCUAAUAGGUCAAGAAGUGGCGAGAAACGAGUAUGAACAUGGACGCACAAGGUUGUACGGAUAACGGGCGAUUAUCACAAGGAUUAGAGAUCGAAGACCGAGUCACAAGAUAGAUUGUACGGGAAUAAUUGAGUAUGUACUAUUAGUAAACAUGACUUAUGCUUUAUCUUUGUAAAAGAUACAUAUUAAAACGAACU